UAGUGGAGACGGGGUUUCAUCGUGUUGGCCAGGCUGGUCUCGAACUCCUGACCUCAGGUGAUCCCCCGCCGUCCAGAUUUUGAACAAAUCUCUCUAGGGAUUGAACAGAGCUGCGCCUGGAUCCUGCCACAGUGAGGAGACCUGAAGACCAGAGGAAGCACAGCAAGCCCUUGGAUCCUCCUGGAAUCCCCGAUCCCUGUUGCUCCCUUGCGGAGUUUUCUAGUCCGUCUUAUUUGAAGUAUGUCUUUCAGAGCCUCACACCACCCAGCUUGGGUAUGUGGUGAAUUCUAUGGUCUGCAUGUCCAUGUUUGUGACAUUCUGGGAAGGGUGGCCCAGGCUGUGAUUUGCCAUCUACUGCUGCAGGCUAUGAAUGGUAUUUAGAAGGGAGGGGAGUUGCUGUGUGCGUCUUCUGAAGGGUUUCUCACUAAAUGGAGAGACUGACUCUCUCCAUAACUAUUUGAUUUUUACUUUAUCUCCUUGUUGACUUCACAGUGUAAGUGCAGUUUGUCUCUACUGGGUGAUGCAUGCAUAUAAAGGUUUAUGUGAACACAUGAAUCUGCAUGUGUGGGUGAACUCUCCACAUCAUGUCAUUUAUUGUCCAUCAUUACAUAUCUGUGGUGUCUAGCACAUUCCUCUACCUUAUUUUCUGUCAUUGUACCUACUUCUA
Molecule: long non-coding RNA, 667 nt
Filed under: Pongo abelii (Sumatran orangutan)
Lineage: Eukaryota; Metazoa; Chordata; Mammalia; Primates; Hominidae
Description: lincRNA
Source: RNAcentral